Molecule: ribosomal RNA, 450 nt
Filed under: uncultured bacterium
Lineage: Bacteria
Description: bacterial SSU rRNA
Rfam family: Bacterial small subunit ribosomal RNA
Source: RNAcentral
GUGGGGAAUAUUGGACAAUGGGCGAAAGCCUGAUCCAGCAAUGCCGCGUGUGUGAAGAAGGUCUUCGGAUUGUAAAGCACUUUAAGUUGGGAGGAAGGGCAGUAAGUUAAUACCUUGCUGUUUUGACGUUACCGACAGAAUAAGCACCGGCUAACUUCGUGCCAGCAGCCGCGGUAAUACGAAGGGUGCAAGCGUUAAUCGGAAUUACUGGGCGUAAAGCGCGCGUAGGUGGUUUUGUAAGUUGGAGGUGAAAUCCCCGGGCUCAACCUGGGAACUGCCUCCAAAACUGCAUGACUAGAGUACGGUAGAGGGUAGUGGAAUUUCCUGUGUAGCGGUGAAAUGCGUAGAUAUAGGAAGGAACACCAGUGGCGAAGGCGACUACCUGGACUGAUACUGACACUGAGGUGCGAAAGCGUGGGGAGCAAACAGGAUUAGAUACCCGUGUAGUCC